UAGGCAUAUUUUUUCCACCAGAUAUAGCGUAUUGAUGAGAGCCAUUUUAAACUAUGCUCUUCGUCCUUCAGGCGUGCCGUUGUGGCGUCUCCUGAGCGAAAAUAAGUCUGUAAACCGCAAUGUGUGCGAAUUAUUGGCAAAAGGCAACCGCAGGCUGCCUUUUUCUUU
This 168-nucleotide small RNA is filed under the name Citrobacter amalonaticus. RNAcentral describes it as "SraB RNA". It matches the Rfam family "SraB RNA". From Rfam's summary of the family: This RNA was discovered in E. coli during a large scale screen. This ncRNA was found to be expressed only in stationary phase. The record is from RNAcentral. Lineage: Bacteria; Pseudomonadati; Pseudomonadota; Gammaproteobacteria; Enterobacterales; Enterobacteriaceae.